CGACAGGGGUGCCGGAAACGGCUGAGAUUAUACCCUUUUACCUGACACGGAUAAUACCGGCGUAGGGAGUGCGUAA
RNAcentral lists this non-coding RNA (76 nucleotides) under chicken gut metagenome. RNAcentral's name for it is "TPP riboswitch (THI element)". The stretch from base 3 to 70 matches the Rfam family "TPP riboswitch aptamer (THI element)", at positions 9 to 90 of the family's 105-position model. From Rfam's summary of the family: Vitamin B(1) in its active form thiamin pyrophosphate (TPP) is an essential coenzyme that is synthesised by coupling of pyrimidine and thiazole moieties in bacteria. The previously detected thiamin-regulatory element, thi box was extended, resulting in a new, highly conserved RNA secondary structure, the THI element, which is widely distributed in eubacteria and also occurs in some archaea. The record is from RNAcentral.